UGUACUACUGGGUCGUGGGUCUGCCCAGCUGGCGGGUGUGGGUGGCGGCUCCGCUCCGCCCCCUCUCCAAUUGGGGUCACGCGGUCACCACGCUGGCGAGCCGCUGGGCCUGCUCCGGGGGCUGGUGGCGGCCCGGCUCCUCCCCUCUGGCUCAAGGACAAAUUGAGGAGACUCGGGUGACUGAGCCUCACCCCCCUUACCAGGAGACCAACUGCUUAUGUCACCGCUGGUAUUGAUGAAGAUCUCUCCUCCACUGCUUUCUGCUGACAUCAGAUCUCUGCCAUGUUGGUAUCCUAUGCGAAUGGCAGCAUUUCGUUCCCCUUGCCGGGCAACCAGAGCAACGGGGAGAACAGCAGCCGAUUUGGACUCCAGAAAGAUUAACUAAAGCGAUUUCUACAGACCAAAAAGAAGAUGAUUUGGCUCAAAUCCAUAACAACUGAUAUCCAAAACUCCAGUUUGGCUAUUCUUCCAUCUGCAACAGAACCAGGAUGCUUUUUUCAAUAUCUAUUUUAUUAUUGCCCUUUGCCAUAUCAUGAAGUUCUAUUUUGUUUUUUGAGCUCAUACAGACCUAGGUUAAUGUUUUGCUGAUCAGUUCUAUUUUUUGACUAUAGAGUUUUUAAACAUUGCAAUGGAGAAAUGGAGAUUUCACCUGUAAAAAGUUAUAAGGCCUUUACUAUAAUGUUAUGUGUUGUAUGUAUUAUGUGUGCACACUUGUGUUUUGUGUUAUAUGUUUGAAUGUAUGUAUGUCCAUAUAUCAUAUAUGAUGAGCGCUCAUGAUAAAAUGGAUCCAAAUAUUUUUUUUCACGUGAUUUAUAUGGUUUAAUUUAAAUUGGGUAAACAACUGUUGAGGAUUGUUUUAAUAUGUAAACAAAAAAGAAGGUUAACAGAUCUGUUUGUUUACUUUCACCUUUCCUUUUCAUUAUAUUUAAUAAUUCUCUUAAAGAUAAUGUAAAUUGUUAAGAAAAUUGUUUUCUUUUAGUGCCUUCUGUAAUGUUACAUCAUUUUUUCUUUCUCGAGUAUUGCCAGAAUUCCUAUCUUCAUCCCAGUGCCAGUGAAGACAAUGUAAAAUUGUUUUCUUUUAGUGCCUUUUGUAAUGUUACAUAAUUUUUUUCUUUAGCCAUUAUUGCCAGAAUUCCUAUCUUCAUCCCAGUGCCAGUGAAGACAAUGUAAAUUGUUAAGAAAAUUGUUUUCUUUUAGUGCCUUCUGUAAUGUUACAUAAUUUUUUCUUUAGCCAUUAUUGCCAGAAUUCCUAUCUUCAUCCCAGUGCCGGUGAAGCAAUGUAAAUUGUUAAGAAAAUUGUUUUCUUUUAGUGCCUUCUGUAAUAUUACAUAAUUUUUUCUUUAGCCAUUAUUGCCAGAAUUCCUAUCUUCAUCCCAGUGCUAGUGAAGUCAAAGAUAAAACCAAUCUACAGCUUCUACAAUAGCCAUCACUGAACUGCUUGCAGAACUUGCCUGGACACAUUGUGAGCUCACCUGUAUGCAUUGUGAACUAUCUGUUGGUGCAGCGACUUGUGGUAGUGUUGGGGUAUUUUUGCUGAUGAUGUCAUUGGUGGUACAAUUUUUCCAAAAGGAGCCGUCAAUUGGCUUGGUGUAUCUUCCUCCCUUGUGCUUGUCAUGAUCGUCCAGCUAAAAUUUGGGGGCCAACAGAGGUGAGGCAAAGAACCUCACCCCCCCGCUGGUACAAAGACCUCUCCACAGGUGUGGCUGUAUACUGGACCUGUAGUCAGUGACGGGUAAGAUCCAAUUGCAAUGGUACCAACCUAAGGACCAUAUGUACUAUUGGACAACCUAAGGCAGGCACGGUCCCUAAGCCACAUGCUAGUUGUUUAAACAGAGAGGGAGAGAUGUUGAGAGCCACAGCCGAAGGGGCCCCAGCAAACUUCCAGCUGCCAGCAAACUUCCAGCUGCCAGCAAACUUCCAGCUGCCUGCUGAUGAUUGGCUCACAGCGGCCCCAGCAACAUCUAGCUGAUUGGCUCCUCUGCGGUGAUGCUCAUUGGGCUGUUUCCCUGCCCUUUCAGACCACGGAGCUGCUCAUUGGGGGACUUUUUUGGCUCCGCCCACGUGACCAAGCCAAUCCGCCUCAAGAGCAGGAGGAUUGUGGGAGGUGGAGAGAAGCUUGUGUGGGAGAGAGAGGCUUGUGGAAAGCCGGUGGUGGCAGUUGAGGCUCUGAGGGUUUUUCCUGAGAGGCUGUUUUGUAAGGCGUGUGUGGUUCUAAAAAUAAAGUUAGUUUCUUUUGACAA
This is a long non-coding RNA of Marmota monax (woodchuck), 2240 nucleotides long. RefSeq lists it as uncharacterized. The record is from RefSeq and is a predicted model, not a curated record. Lineage: Eukaryota; Metazoa; Chordata; Mammalia; Rodentia; Sciuridae. The transcript has 2 exons.